GAUGAACGCUGGCGGCGUGCCUAAUACAUGCAAGUCGAGCGAACAGACGAGGAGCUUGCUCCUCUGACGUUAGCGGCGGACGGGUGAGUAACACGUGGAUAACCUACCUAUAAGACUGGGAUAACUUCGGGAAACCGGAGCUAAUACCGGAUAAUAUAUUGAACCGCAUGGUUCAAUAGUGAAAGACGGUUUUGCUGUCACUUAUAGAUGGAUCCGCGCCGCAUUAGCUAGUUGGUAAGGUAACGGCUUACCAAGGCAACGAUGCGUAGCCGACCUGAGAGGGUGAUCGGCCACACUGGAACUGAGACACGGUCCAGGCUCCUACGGGAGGCAGCAGUAGGGAAUCGUCCGCAAUGGGCGAAAGCCUGACGGAGCAACGCCGCGUGAGUGAUGGAGGUCUUCGGAUCGUAAAACUCUGUUAUUAGGGAAGAACAAAUGUGUAAGUAACUAUGCACGUCUUGACGGUACCUAAUCAGAAAGCCACGGCUAACUACGUG
This 497-nucleotide ribosomal RNA is filed under the name uncultured bacterium. RNAcentral's name for it is "partial 16S ribosomal RNA". It matches the Rfam family "Bacterial small subunit ribosomal RNA", at positions 28 to 507 of the family's 1533-position model. The record is from RNAcentral.